GUCGAACGAAGCACUGAAAGCGGAACACUUCGGUAUGAAGCUUUCUUUGACUGAGUGGCGGACGGGUGAGUAACGCGUGGGUAACCUGCCUCAUACAGGGGGAUAACAGUUAGAAAUGACUGCUAAUACCGCAUAAGCGCACGGAACCGCAUGGUUUUGUGUGAAAAACUCCGGUGGUAUGAGAUGGACCCGCGUCUGAUUAGCUGGUUGGCGGGGUAACGGCCCACCAAGGCGACGAUCAGUAGCCGGCCUGAGAGGGUGAACGGCCACAUUGGGACUGAGACACGGCCCAAACUCCUACGGGAGGCAGCAGUGGGGGAUAUUGCACAAUGGGGGAAACCCUGAUGCAGCGACGCCGCGUGAAGGAAGAAGUAUCUCGGUAUGUAAACUUCUAUCAGCAGGGAAGAAAAUGACGGUACCUGACCAAGAAGCCCCGGCUAACUACGUGCCAGCAGCCGCGGUAAUACGUAGGGGGCAAGCGUCAUCCGGAUUUACUGGGUGUAAAGGGAGCGUAGGCGGCGACGCAAGUCAGAAGUGAAAGCCCGGGGCUCAACUCCGGGACUGCUUUUGAAACUGCGUUGCUAGAUUGCGGGAGAGGCAAGUGGAAUUCCUAGUGUAGCGGUGAAAUGCGUAGAUAUUAGGAGGAACACCAGUGGCGAAGGCGGCUUGCUGGACCGUGAAUGACGCUGAGGCUCGAAAGCGUGG
RNAcentral lists this ribosomal RNA (705 nucleotides) under uncultured bacterium. RNAcentral describes it as "bacterial SSU rRNA". It matches the Rfam family "Bacterial small subunit ribosomal RNA", at positions 61 to 764 of the family's 1533-position model. The record is from RNAcentral.